UGGGGAAUAUUGGACAAUGGGGGCAACCCUGAUCCAGCCAUGCCGCGUGAGUGAUGAAGGCCUUCGGGUUGUAAAGCUCUUUUGGCGGGGACGAUGAUGACGGUACCCGCAGAAUAAGCCCCGGCUAACUUCGUGCCAGCAGCCGCGGUAAGACGAAGGGGGCUAGCGUUGUUCGGAAUUACUGGGCGUAAAGCGAGUGUAGGCGGUUGCCGUAGUCAGGUGUGAAAGCCUUGAGCUCAACUCAAGAAAUGCACUUGAUACUGGGUGACUAGAGGACCGGAGAGGAUAGUGGAAUUCCCAGUGUAGUGGUGAAAUACGUAGAGACUGGGAAGAACACCAGUGGCGAAGGCGGCUAUCUGGACGGUUACUGACGCUAAGACUCGAAAGCGUGGGGAGCAAACAGGAUUAGAUACCCUGGUAGUCCACGCCGUAAACGAUGGGUGCUAGACGUUGGCGAGCUUGCUCGUCAGUGUCGCAGCUAACGCGUUAAGCACCCCGCCUGGGGGAGUACGGCCGCAAGAUUAAAACUCAAAGGAAUUGAC
RNAcentral lists this ribosomal RNA (542 nucleotides) under uncultured bacterium. RNAcentral describes it as "partial 16S ribosomal RNA". It matches the Rfam family "Bacterial small subunit ribosomal RNA", at positions 355 to 914 of the family's 1533-position model. The record is from RNAcentral.